Molecule: ribosomal RNA, 253 nt
Filed under: uncultured bacterium
Lineage: Bacteria
Description: partial 16S ribosomal RNA
Rfam family: Bacterial small subunit ribosomal RNA
Source: RNAcentral
UACGGGGGGGGCAAGCGUUGUUCGGAAUUACUGGGCGUAAAGGGCUCGUAGGCGGCCAACUAAGUCAGACGUGAAAUCCCUCGGCUUAACCGGGGAACUGCGUCUGAUACUGGAUGGCUUGAGUUUGGGAGAGGGAUGCGGAAUUCCUGGUGUAGCAGUGAAAUGCGUAGAUAUCAGGAGGAAUACCGAUGGCGAAGGCAGGUCUCUGGGCUGACACUGACGCUCAUGCACGAAAGCGUGGGGAGCAAACAGG